This 352-nucleotide unclassified non-coding RNA is filed under the name soil metagenome. RNAcentral's name for it is "partial contains 5.8S ribosomal RNA, internal transcribed spacer 2, and large subunit ribosomal RNA". The stretch from base 1 to 120 matches the Rfam family "5.8S ribosomal RNA", at positions 35 to 154 of the family's 154-position model. The record is from RNAcentral.
GAUGAAGAACGUAGUGAAAUGCGAUAAGUAAUGUGAAUUGCAGAAUUCAGUGAAUCAUCGAAUCUUUGAACGCACAUUGCGCCCGCCAGUAUUCUGGCGGGCAUGCCUGUUCGAGCGUCAUUACAACCCUCAGGCCCCCGGGCCUGGCGUUGGGGAUCGGCGGAGCCCCCCGUGGGCACACGCCGUCCCCCAAAUACAGUGGCGGUCCCGCCGCAGCUUCCAUCGCGUAGUAGCUAACACCUCGCGACUGGAGAGCGGCGCGGCCACGCCGUAAAACACCCAACUCUUCUGAAGUUGACCUCGAAUCAGGUAGGAAUACCCGCUGAACUUAAGCAUAUCAAUAAGCGGAGGA